UGACGGUACCUGACUAAGAAGCCCCGGCUAACUACGUGCCAGCAGCCGCGGUAAUACGUAGGGGGCAAGCGUUAUCCGGAUUUACUGGGUGUAAAGGGAGCGUAGACGGCGAUGCAAGCCAGAAGUGAAAGCCCGGGGCUCAACCUCGGGACUGCUUUUGGAACUGCAUUGCUAGAGUCUCGGAGAGGCAAGCGGAAUUCCUAGUGUAGCGGUGAAAUGCGUAGAUAUUAGGAGGAACACCAGUGGCGAAGGCGGCUUGCUGGACGAGUACUGACGUUCAGGCUCGAAAGCGUGGGGAGCAAACAGGAUUAGAUACCCUG
Molecule: ribosomal RNA, 320 nt
Filed under: uncultured bacterium
Lineage: Bacteria
Description: bacterial SSU rRNA
Rfam family: Bacterial small subunit ribosomal RNA
Source: RNAcentral